UGAGGAAUAUUGCUCAAUGGACGAAAGUCUGAAGCAGCAACGCCGCGUGAGGGAUGAAGGAGCUUUGCUUUGUAAACCUCUGUAGUUGGAGACAAAUGUAGGGUUACUACCCUAUUGAUGGUAUCCAAAAAGUAAGGAUCGGCUAACUACGUGCCAGCAGCCGCGGUAAUACGUAGGAUCCAAGCGUUGUCCGGAUUUACUGGGUGUAAAGGGUGCGCAGGCGGAAUAGUAAGUCAGAGGUGAAAUCUCAUCGCUUAACGGUGAAACUGCCUUUGAUACUAUUAUUCUUGAGUCCGGUAGAGAUCUGUGGAAUUCCGAGUGUAGCAGUGAAAUGUGUAGAUAUUCGGAAGAACACCAGUGGCGAAGGCAGCAGAUUGGGCCGGUACUGACGCUCAGGCACGAAAGCAUGGGGAUCAAACAGGAUUAGAUACCCGUGUAGUCC
Molecule: ribosomal RNA, 442 nt
Filed under: uncultured bacterium
Lineage: Bacteria
Description: bacterial SSU rRNA
Rfam family: Bacterial small subunit ribosomal RNA
Source: RNAcentral